GGGGGGGAUAUGCCGAUGCCUGUGAUCCGUUUCCUUCCGUUUUUUAUGUUUUUUGGUUUCCGAACUGCUUCUUGUUGUGUUGUUGCCGAUGAUGGUUUCCUUUCCUCUUUGUUUUUUUAUGUUAUUUAUUUAUUAUUAAAUUUUGUUCAUUUUGUUUAAAUUAAUUUUUUAUUGUUUUCACGCCCGAUUAUUGCACUAUCAUUAAACGCGCCCGUCUUGAUAUUUGUGGCACUUUUAUUAUCCGCGCCCGGUUCCUGAAGGGUUUUUUUUGUAACUUUCGACUUUUGCCACACAAUCUUUAAACUUUAUAGUCAGCCCUAUUCUGCAUUUCUACUCGAAUCGAAAUUUUCUCCGAUUGGCCACUUUGGUAUUCUGCGUUUCGAUUCAACUUCGAAAAUUCCAAUUCUAUGUAUUCUGCAUUGCGAUCGUAAUUACGUUUUUGUACGUUGAAGUUUUGUUGGCGGAAAGCCGUUAUAUAUUCAUUUUCGUGCAUUUGGAUAAAAUAAUUUCCUCAAAUAUGUCAAAAGUAACAACGGCAGAGCAAUACGAAAAAUUGUGUGAUAUGAUGGCCACGAAAAGAGAUAUUGCGCACGGCUUCCAAAAGCGACCGAAGGAAGAAGUACAGGAGUUUUGGGAGGAGGUUGCAAGGAAUUUAAAUGCACUUGGCCCACCAACAAAAGAUUCCAAUACAUGGAGAAAGAUCUAGAUUGACUGGAAAUGCUACAUGAAGCGAAAAUUAUCGCAUAACAAAAAAGAAAGGAUGAGCACCGAUGGAGGUCCUUGCCGUUUACAACGCAUAAGCCCACUUGAUGAAAAGGUGAUAGCUUUGACGGGUUUGGAAACGGAUGAUAUCCCUUCAACCAGUAGAGCUAGCAGCCAAAAUAGAGAGGCGAGGGCAGACAAGCAGAGCACUUCUUCAUUACUUAAGCAACAGAUACAAAUCAAAACGAAUUUUAUGCAGAGACGAAAAAAUUCAAUGAAGCUGCCUUUGGUAAAAUGGAAGAAGUUACUUCAUAUUUACGACACAUGAAUCGUUCUCUAGAAACUUUGGCGGAGACUGCAGUGAAGCAACCUGAAGAACAGAAGCGACACAAUAGAAUUAAGGAAGAGCUGGUGAAGGAAAAAGUAGAAAUAAAAAUGCAAAUGCUAAGAUUAGGUCCAAAUUAUAAGCCGGAUUCAAAGUAGUCAUUUUUUAAUUGUUAGCCUUUUAUUUAUUUUACUAUUAUUCAUUUAUAUAACGAGCUGUGAAAUUAAAUAAAAGCAUUUACUUUUUUAAUAUAGGAGCUGUAAAAUGCACUGAAUGCAAUUGUUUUUAUUUAAUAGAGUAAUGUAGGGCAUA
This is a long non-coding RNA of Bactrocera neohumeralis, 1339 nucleotides long. RefSeq lists it as uncharacterized. The record is from RefSeq and is a predicted model, not a curated record. Lineage: Eukaryota; Metazoa; Arthropoda; Insecta; Diptera; Tephritidae. The transcript has 3 exons.